UGCAAGUCGAGCGGAUGACGGGAGCUUGCUCCUUGAUUCAGCGGCGGACGGGUGAGUAAUGCCUAGGAAUCUGCCUGGUAGUGGGGGACAACGUUUCGAAAGGAACGCUAAUACCGCAUACGUCCUACGGGAGAAAGCAGGGGACCUUCGGGCCUUGCGCUAUCAGAUGAGCCUAGGUCGGAUUAGCUAGUUGGUGAGGUAAUGGCUCACCAAGGCGACGAUCCGUAACUGGUCUGAGAGGAUGAUCAGUCACACUGGAACUGAGACACGGUCCAGACUCCUACGGGAGGCAGCAGUGGGGAAUAUUGGACAAUGGGCGAAAGCCUGAUCCAGCCAUGCCGCGUGUGUGAAGAAGGUCUUCGGAUUGUAAAGCACUUUAAGUUGGGAGGAAGGGCAGUAAGCUAAUACCUUUCUGUUUUGACGUUACCGACAGAAUAAGCACCGGCUAACUCUGUGCCAGCAGCCGCGGUAAUACAGAGGGUGCAAGCGUUAAUCGGAAUUACUGGGCGUAAAGCGCGCGUAGGUGGUUCGUUAAGUUGGAUGUGAAAGCCCCGGGCUCAACCUGGGAACUGCAUCCAAAACUGGCGAGCUAGAGUACGGUAGAGGGUGGUGGAAUUUCCUGUGUAGCGGUGAAAUGCGUAGAUAUAGGAAGGAACACCAGUGGCGAAGGCGACCACCUGGACUGAUACUGACACUGAGGUGCGAAAGCGUGGGGAGCAAACGGGAUUAGAUACCCUGGUAGUCCACGCCGUAAACGAUGUCAACUAGCCGUUGGAAUCCUUGAGAUUUUAGUGGCGCAGCUAACGCAUUAAGUUGACCGCCUGGGGAGUACGGCCGCAAGGUUAAAACUCAAAUGAAUUGACGG
RNAcentral lists this ribosomal RNA (865 nucleotides) under uncultured bacterium. Its description in RNAcentral is "bacterial SSU rRNA". It matches the Rfam family "Bacterial small subunit ribosomal RNA", at positions 56 to 916 of the family's 1533-position model. The record is from RNAcentral.